Molecule: unclassified non-coding RNA, 329 nt
Filed under: soil metagenome
Description: partial contains 5.8S ribosomal RNA, internal transcribed spacer 2, and large subunit ribosomal RNA
Rfam family: 5.8S ribosomal RNA (bases 1-120)
Source: RNAcentral
GAUGAAGAACGUAGCGAAAUGCGAUAAGUAAUGUGAAUUGCAGAAUUCAGUGAAUCAUCGAAUCUUUGAACGCACCUUGCGCUCCUUGGUAUUCCGAGGAGCAUGCCUGUUCGAGCGUCAUUUCACCACUCAAGCCUGGCUUGGUGUUGGGCGACGUCCUCUUUGGGGACGCGCCUCGAAACGCUCGGCGGCGUGGCACCGGCUUUAAGCGUAGCAGAAUCUUUCGCUUUGGAAGUCGGGGCCCCGUCUGCCGGAAGACCUGCUCGCAAGGUUGACCUCGGAUCAGGCAGGGAUACCCGCUGAACUUAAGCAUAUCAAUAAGCGGAGGA